Molecule: ribosomal RNA, 651 nt
Filed under: Russula sp. LM3381
Lineage: Eukaryota; Fungi; Basidiomycota; Agaricomycetes; Russulales; Russulaceae
Description: eukaryotic LSU rRNA
Rfam family: 5.8S ribosomal RNA (bases 201-354)
Source: RNAcentral
CAUUAUCGAACAACCGAGGCGCGAGGGCUGUCGCCUGACCUCCAAAGGGUCGUGCACGCCCGAGCGCUCUCGCACAAAAUCCAUCUCACCCCUUUGUGCAUCACCGCGCGGGUCCCCCCUUUGCAGGAGGGCUCACGUUUUCACACAAAAUUUGAUACAGUCUAGAAUGUUUUGUUUUUGCGGUCACACGCAAUCAAUACAACUUUCAACAACGGAUCUCUUGGCUCUCGCAUCGAUGAAGAACGCAGCGAAAUGCGAUACGUAAUGUGAAUUGCAGAAUUCAGUGAAUCAUCGAAUCUUUGAACGCACCUUGCGCCCCUUGGCAUUCCGAGGGGCACACCCGUUUGAGUGUCGUGAAAUCCUCAAAGCCCCCUUUUCUUUCAUCGGAACGGGGAUUUUGGAUCUUGGAGGUUCAAUGCUUGCUUUUGCUUUCAAAGGCGAGCUCCUCUUAAAUGAAUCAGUGGGGUCCGCUUUGCUGAUCCUUGACGUGAUAAUAUGUUUCUAACGUUUUGGAUCUGGCAACUGUUUUCUCCGCUCCUAAUCGUCUCAUUGACAAUGAUGGUGCUUGGGUCCCCUGCCAUCUACGUUGGCGGGAGGCUGGACCCACAAAAAUAAAACCUUGACCUCAAAUCGGGGUGAGACUACCCGCUG